This 504-nucleotide ribosomal RNA is filed under the name uncultured bacterium. RNAcentral's name for it is "partial 16S ribosomal RNA". It matches the Rfam family "Bacterial small subunit ribosomal RNA", at positions 29 to 523 of the family's 1533-position model. The record is from RNAcentral.
AUUGAACGCUGGCGGCAGGCCUAACACAUGCAAGUCGGACGGUAGCACAGAGAGCUUGCUCUCGGGUGACGAGUGGCGGACGGGUGAGUAAUGUCUGGGGAUCUGCCCGAUAGAGGGGGAUAACCACUGGAAACGGUGGCUAAUACCGCAUAACGUCGCAAGACCAAAGAGGGGGACCUUCGGGCCUCUCACUAUCGGAUGAACCCAGAUGGGAUUAGCUGGUAGGCGGGGUAAUGGCCCACCUAGGCGACGAUCCCUAGCUGGUCUGAGAGGAUGACCAGCCAAACUGGACCUGAGACACGGUCCAGACUCCUACGGGAGGCAGCAGUGGGGAAUAUUGCACAAUGGGCGCAAGCCUGAUGCAGCCAUGCCGCGUGUAUGAAGAAGGCCUUCGGGUUGUAAAGUACUUUCAGCGGGGAGGAAGGCGAUGCGGUUAAUAACCGUGUCGAUUGACGUUACCCGCAGAAGAAGCACCGGCUAACACCGUGCCAGCCGCCGCCGUAA